This 80-nucleotide transfer RNA is filed under the name Marmota monax (woodchuck). RNAcentral describes it as "tRNA.Ala". The record is from RNAcentral. Lineage: Eukaryota; Metazoa; Chordata; Mammalia; Rodentia; Sciuridae.
GGGUGGUAGAGCACUUGCUUAGUGGUAGAGCACUUGCCUAGCAUGUGCGAGGCACUGGGUUCGAUUCUCAGCACCAUCCA